UUAGUGCUGGAUCCACAGCUCCGUGCAAUCCAUAUAAACAACUAGGAUGAAGGGACUGAGAAUAACAUCUCCAGGCUUGCUGAGAAAUUAAAUUUUGGUGGACGUUGAACUGUGAGGAACAGCAGGAACCUGCAGUUGGAUAUGGGCUGAUUAGAAGGAGAUUUUGGAACGAGGAACCCUUGGCAGGAGAGUUCAGCCACUGGGGACGGACUGAGGACUUUGCCACAUCUUCUAAACGAAUUGGCUCAGGCCUUAAUGCUGGAUGGGGGAAUCAGUUAAUUGCAGCCCUGGUGUUUUGCGUUCAGUUAGCGCUGUUGUUGCAGCAUCAUUCCUGCGAACUCAAGUACAAGACCUCCCCGUCACUACAGAGCCUUUCAGCGCCAAUGCUGUGCGGUCGUACCUGAAAUUGUGUCAGCAAUGGCCGAUACAUGAGCAGAAAUCCGGUAUAUAGGCAAUGGCUUUGGAAAGUGAAGAUUCAGGACUGGAUCGAUUGAAUAAGUACAUAGGAAUAACCGGAGGCUAAUCAGAUAUUAGACAUGGAUUCAUGAAUCGUCUGGAGGCUUCGGGAGAACAAUCUAUACACUAUACACAAUUUUGCAGGAGUGAAGUUAGGAAACACUUCGGGUGAGAGAAUUUGGGACGACUUUCUGCAAAUUCCUGCUGAUGCUAACUCACGAGUUAAUGUUUAAAUCUUUGAUUAACCUUAUCAAAUGCUGUUUGGAAACCCAAAGAUCCAUCUGCCAUUCUCUUCCUAUGGUCACUAUGUGUGUGUGUCUGUCUCGAUGCUUGUUUCUCUCUUCUCGUUCAUGACGUCAGUAAAAGUCUAC
Long non-coding RNA from Carcharodon carcharias (great white shark), 827 nucleotides. RefSeq lists it as uncharacterized. NCBI's taxonomy places the organism in Eukaryota, Metazoa, Chordata, Chondrichthyes, Lamniformes, Lamnidae. The record is from RefSeq and is a predicted model, not a curated record. The transcript is spliced from 6 exons.